RNAcentral lists this transfer RNA (94 nucleotides) under bacterium. Its description in RNAcentral is "tRNA-Sec". It matches the Rfam family "Selenocysteine transfer RNA". The record is from RNAcentral. RNAcentral also lists the same sequence under 1 other name.
GGGAGGAUGGAUCUGGUGGUUCAGUCGGUCUUCAAAACCGAUAAGAGGCGGAUAAAACCGUCUUUGGCAGGUUCGAUUCCUGCCCUCUCAGCCA